This 460-nucleotide ribosomal RNA is filed under the name uncultured bacterium. RNAcentral's name for it is "partial 16S ribosomal RNA". It matches the Rfam family "Bacterial small subunit ribosomal RNA", at positions 338 to 795 of the family's 1533-position model. The record is from RNAcentral.
CCUACGGGAGGCAGCAGUGAGGAAUAUUGGUCAAUGGACGAGAGUCUGAACCAGCCAAGUCGCGUGAAGGAUGACUGCCCUAUGGGUUGUAAACUUCUUUUAUAUGGGAAUAAAAUGUUCCACGUGUGGGAUUUUGUAUGUACCAUAUGAAUAAGGAUCGGCUAACUCCGUGCCAGCAGCCGCGGUAAUACGUAGGGUACGAGCGUUAUCCGGAUUUAUUGGGUUUAAAGGGAGCGUAGGUGGAGUGUUAAGUCAGUUGUGAAAGGUUGGGGCGCAACCGUAAAAUUGCAGUUGAAACGGGCAGUCUUGAGUACAGUAGAGGUGGGCGGAAUUCGUGGUGUAGCGGUGAAAUGCUUAGAUAUCACGAAGAACUCCGAUUGCGAAGGCAGCUCACUGGACUGCAACUGACACUGAGGCUCGAAAGUGUGGGUAUCAAACAGGAUUAGAUACCCUGGUAGUC